GUGUGUUGAAAGGUCCGAAGGAUGUUCGGCCCUAAUGCUGCCAUGGGUCCGAAUCUAGGAGGAUCUUGUUUAGAAUGGGUUUAUCUCGGUCAUCGGUGGGUUCUAUAUAAAGGUCGCUUUCUUCCUCUAUUUAGAUUUUCUACUAUUCUAGGAAUUUAUCCAUGGGUGUCGAUUGUCGAGAGCUCCAAGGAAUCAUCUAC
Molecule: long non-coding RNA, 200 nt
Filed under: Elaeis guineensis (African oil palm)
Lineage: Eukaryota; Viridiplantae; Streptophyta; Magnoliopsida; Arecales; Arecaceae
Description: long non-coding RNA (EGUI_LNC003082)
Source: RNAcentral